UACGAAGGGGGCUAGCGUUGCUCGGAAUCACUGGGCGUAAAGGGUGCGUAGGCGGGUCUUUAAGUCAGGGGUGAAAUCCUGGAGCUCAACUCCAGAACUGCCUUCGAUACUGGAGAGCUUGAGUCCGGGAGAGGUGAGUGGAACUGCGAGUGUAGAGGUGAAAUUCGUAGAUAUUCGCAAGAACACCAGUGGCGAAGGCGGCUCACUGGCCCGGUACUGACGCUGAGGUGCGAAAGCGUGGGGAGCAAACGGG
RNAcentral lists this ribosomal RNA (253 nucleotides) under uncultured bacterium. RNAcentral's name for it is "partial 16S ribosomal RNA". It matches the Rfam family "Bacterial small subunit ribosomal RNA", at positions 524 to 776 of the family's 1533-position model. The record is from RNAcentral.